RNAcentral lists this small nucleolar RNA (84 nucleotides) under Prunus dulcis (almond). RNAcentral's name for it is "sRNA ncRNA". It matches the Rfam family "Small nucleolar RNA Z159/U59". Rfam says of the family: This family consists of several snoRNA Z159 or U59 sequences which are members of the C/D class of snoRNA which contain the C (UGAUGA) and D (CUGA) box motifs. This family seems to be found exclusively in rice. C/D box small nucleolar RNAs are known to act as a methylation guides for 18S ribosomal RNA in plants. Lineage: Eukaryota; Viridiplantae; Streptophyta; Magnoliopsida; Rosales; Rosaceae. The record is from Rfam by way of RNAcentral. RNAcentral also lists the same sequence under 3 other names.
GCCUCUGAUGAUGAUCAAUAAAUAACUUUCGUUCUUCCGAGAUGCUCCAUGCGGAAAAAAUUUGGAGACCUGAACUGAAGAGGA